This 259-nucleotide ribosomal RNA is filed under the name uncultured prokaryote. RNAcentral describes it as "partial 16S ribosomal RNA". It matches the Rfam family "Bacterial small subunit ribosomal RNA", at positions 524 to 782 of the family's 1533-position model. The record is from RNAcentral.
UACGGAGGAUCCGAGCGUUAUCCGGAUUUAUUGGGUUUAAAGGGUGCGCAGGCGGAAGAUUAAGUCGGUGGUGAAAUUUUGCAGCUCAACUGUAAAAGUGCCAUUGAUACUGGUUUUCUUGAGUGUGGAUGAAGUAGGCGGAAUUUGUGGUGUAGCGGUGAAAUGCAUAGAUAUCACGAGGAACUCCGAUUGCGCAGGCAGCUUACUAAACCAUAACUGACGCUCAGGCACGAAGGCGUGGGGAUCAAACAGGAUUAGA